Molecule: ribosomal RNA, 1375 nt
Filed under: metagenome
Description: bacterial SSU rRNA
Rfam family: Bacterial small subunit ribosomal RNA
Source: RNAcentral
UGUGAGGUGUGUUAGCUAGUGGCGAACGAGUUAGUAAUACCCUGGUACGUACCUCGAAGUCGGGAAUAAUCCAUCGAAAGGUGGACUAAUACUCGAUAGUCCCGCAAGGGUAAAGUCGCAAGACGCUUUGAGAUCGGCCUAGGCCCGAUCAGCUAGUUGGUGAGGUAAUGGCUCACCAAGGCUAUGACCGGUAGGGGCGCUGAGAGGCGGACCCCCAACGACGCAACUGAGACACGGUGCGUACUCCUACGGGAGGCAGCAGUCGAGAAUAUUCGACAAUGGGCGAAAGCCUGAUCGAGCGACGCCGCGUGCAGGAUGAAGGUCUUAGGAUUGUAAACUGCUUUUCUACGGGAAGAAGGUACGAUAAGUACUGUGACGGUACUGUAGGAAUAAGUGGUUGCAAACUUCGUGCCAGCAGCCGCGGUAAUACGAAGGCCACAAGCGUUAUCCGGAUUUAUUGGGUGUAAAGGGCGCGUAGGUGGUUCGAUGCGUCUUCUGUUAAAUUUCACGGCUCAACCGUGAAGCUGCAGAGGAUACGGUCGGACUUGAGAGCGUUAGAGGCAAAUGGAACUCAUGGUGUAGGGGUGAAAUCCGUUGAUAUCAUGGGGAACACCGAAGGCGAAGGCAAUUUGCUGGGACGUUUCUGACACUGAGGCGCGAAAGCGUGGGGAGCAAAAAGGAUUAGAUACCCUUGUAGUCCACGCCCUAAACGAUGAUCACUAGCUGUCUCGAGUAUCGACCCUCGGGGUGGCGUAGCUAACGCGUUAAGUGAUCCACCUGGGAAGUACGGCCGCAAGGCUAAAACUCAAAGGAAUAGACGGGGACUCGCACAAGCGGUGGAGCAUGUGGUUUAAUUCGACGGUAAACGAGAAACCUUACCAAGACUUGAAAUGUGUACGAAGACCGGCAGAAAUGUUGGUCGUCUUUACUGACGUGCACACAGGUGCUGCAUGGUUGCCGUCAGCUCGUGUCGUGAGACGUUCCCUUAAGUGGGGUAACGAGCGCAACCCUUGCCCUGUGUUAUAUGUGUCACAGGGGACUGCCGUUUUAUAAACGGAGGAAGGCGAGGAUGACGUCAAAUCAGCAUGGCCCUCUGAUGUCUUGGGCUACACACAUGCUACAAUGGUCGGUACAACGGGCUGCCAAACCGUAAGGUGGAGCUAAUCCCAUAAAACCGGCCUCAGUUCAGAUUGAGGGCUGCAACUCGCCCUCAUGAAGUUGGAAUCGCUAGUAAUCGCGGAUCAGAACGCCGCGGUGAAUACGUUCUCGAGUCCUGUACUCACUGCCCGUCACGUCAAGGGAGCUGGUAUUGCCUGAAGUUUCCGCAAGGGGAUCAGGGUACGAUCGGUGACAUGGACGAAGUCGAAACAAGGCA